RNAcentral lists this ribosomal RNA (243 nucleotides) under uncultured bacterium. RNAcentral's name for it is "partial 16S ribosomal RNA". It matches the Rfam family "Bacterial small subunit ribosomal RNA", at positions 532 to 774 of the family's 1533-position model. The record is from RNAcentral.
GGGCAAGCGUUAUCCGGAUUUACUGGGUGUAUAGGGCGCGUAGACGGCCUGGCAAGCCCGCUGUGAACGCCCGGGGCUCCACCCCGGCACUGCAUUUGGAACUGUCAGGCUAGAGUGUCGGAGAGGUAAGCGGAAUUCCUAGUGUAGCGGUGAAAUGCGUAGAUAUUAGGAGGAACACCAGUGGCGAAGGCGGCUUACUGGACGAUGACUGACGUUGAGGCUCGAAAGCGUGGGGAGCAAACA